This 400-nucleotide ribosomal RNA is filed under the name uncultured bacterium. RNAcentral describes it as "bacterial SSU rRNA". It matches the Rfam family "Bacterial small subunit ribosomal RNA", at positions 28 to 430 of the family's 1533-position model. The record is from RNAcentral.
GACGAACGCUGGCGGCGUGCUUAACACAUGCAAGUCGAGCGGUAAGGCCCUUUCGGGGGUACACGAGCGGCGAACGGGUGAGUAACACGUGGGUGACCUGCCCUUAGCCCUGGGAUAAGCCUGGGAAACUGGGUCUAAUACCGGAUAUGACUCCAUGACGCAUGUUGUGGGGUGGAAAGCCUUGUGCGGCUAGGGAUGGGCCCGCGGCCUAUCAGCUUGUUGGUGGGGUGAUGGCCUACCAAGGCGACGACGGAUAGCCGGCCUGAGAGGGUGAUCGGCCACACUGGGACUGAGACACGGCCCAGACUCCUACGGGAGGCAGCAGUGGGGAAUAUUGCGCAAUGGGCGAAAGCCUGACGCAGCGACGCCGCGUGAGGGACGAAGGCCUUCGGUCGUAACC